Molecule: long non-coding RNA, 506 nt
Organism: Hylaeus anthracinus
Lineage: Eukaryota; Metazoa; Arthropoda; Insecta; Hymenoptera; Colletidae
Exons: 3
Source: RefSeq, a predicted model, not a curated record
CGACGACGACGACGACGACGACGACGACAAAGUACAAGACUUUCCUCUGCGUUAUUUUGUUUGGUGGAAUCACGAAUGUUGUUCUCCUCUCGCGUGGUAUAUACUUGCCAGACGGGGAAAUAAACGCAGUCACGUUGGGGGAGCAAAAAAGCCCACGGGAUCUAUUCGGGAACGUUUUACAGACCCUGGCCAUCGAAUUAGGACCACGCACGAAAAUUUCACUUUUACGCGUAUUCAGGUGGCCUAACAGGCCGCCACGUGGGUAAGAGGCGCCUUUAUGCAAGAAAAAUUUAGCGCCCUUUUCCGUGAUACAUGAUUGGUAAAUUACAACAAAUAUACAUUAUACAUUAUAUAAUUAUUUACGUAUUAACCCUCCUAGCUUUGGCUGCCACGAAAUUUUUUCAAAUUGUUACAUGAAUGCUGGUUCUUUUUCUUGAACAUUAUGCGAGCCACUACUUUGUAACAGAUUGUAGAGUGUAUUGUACAUGAUUAGAUCGAUUUCAUAU